CGUAGGUGGCAAGCGUUGUCCGGAUUUAUUGGGUUUAAAGGGUGCGUAGGUGGCCCUGUAAGUCAGUGGUGAAAUAUCUCAGCUUAACUGAGAGGGUGCCAUUGAUACUGCAGGGCUUGAGUACAGAUGAGGUAGGCGGAAUUGACGGUGUAGCGGUGAAAUGCAUAGAUAUCGUCAAGAACACCGAUAACGAAGGCAGCUUACCAAGCUGUAACUGACACUGAGGCACGAAAGUGUGGGGAUCAAACAGGAUUAGAUACCCUGGUAGUCCACACUGUAAACGUUGAUGACUCGAUGUUGGCGAUACACAGCCAGCGUCCAAGAGCAAUCGUUAAGUCAUCCACCUGGGGAUACGCCGGCAACGGUG
This 367-nucleotide ribosomal RNA is filed under the name uncultured organism. RNAcentral's name for it is "bacterial SSU rRNA". It matches the Rfam family "Bacterial small subunit ribosomal RNA", at positions 526 to 896 of the family's 1533-position model. The record is from RNAcentral.